This is a long non-coding RNA of Vigna angularis (adzuki bean), 477 nucleotides long. RefSeq lists it as uncharacterized. NCBI's taxonomy places the organism in Eukaryota, Viridiplantae, Streptophyta, Magnoliopsida, Fabales, Fabaceae. The transcript has 2 exons. The record is from RefSeq and is a predicted model, not a curated record.
UGGGAACUUCUUCUUCCUUGGGUUCUUACGUUCAAAAAAAUGUAGAGUAGGAAAGUUCUUCUUCUUCCCCCUUUAAGGGGUGUUUUGUAGAAGCUAUGCUAAGACGAGGGGGCAUUCAACGUGAAGAAAUAGAUACAACUUGGAAGUUCGUACUAAGCAGAUGCUUGCUUCCAAAUGCCUUUGUCUAGGGUAUAUAUACUUGAUAAAUAAUGAACCAUGUUAUUCUUUAUGCAUGGCCUGCAUUUGUCUUUGACUUAUUUUAGUCAAGUGACUUUUGGUCAUCUUACCCUAUUCCGGAUUUUAAGGGGAAAUUUUUUAGAGAGCCACUUCUAUAAUUAUUGUGUUAGUGAAUUUAUGUGGGCCCUAGAAAAUAUUAUUAACAUUCACAUUUUUCACCCUUGAGGGCUUUUGUAAUCGUAAUACAUCAAGGCUUUUGUAACUAUGAUAAAGUUUAGGUUGAUGUUUGAUUGAAGGCUA